Cryptomeria japonica (Japanese cedar) is the source of this 1164-nucleotide long non-coding RNA. RefSeq lists it as uncharacterized. The transcript is spliced from 3 exons. NCBI's taxonomy places the organism in Eukaryota, Viridiplantae, Streptophyta, Pinopsida, Cupressales, Cupressaceae. The record is from RefSeq and is a predicted model, not a curated record.
CACCUCUUUUUUCUUCUCUACAUUUGGAAUCGUUCAUUUCUUGAAGCUUUCUGCACUGUUGUCUGUAAACCCUCUGUGUUUCUCAAGUCCUUCGCCUUGUUGAUAUUAGCCCAGCGAAAUUCAGAUUUAAAACUUAAAUUUUCUUUCAAUCAUCUGCAAAUUUCGAUCAAUGCAUUUGCCUGAAAUCGGGGUUUACAGCUAAUUGUGUGACGUGAAAUCGCGCUGACAGAUUGCAACAGAGCUUUCCUCUCCCUUACACCCUUCCCCCACUCUGCAACAAGGAUUUUCCCAAAUCUUGAAUCUCACCAUCAAGCAAAGACUUUAUCCUACAAUUGUUCCUCUGCCCUUGAGGCAAAAGGAGACGAAGAUCACAUCUCUCAGAAGGACUAAGAAUGAUGGACUUGCCACUGUGAGACUCUUCCAGGAGAAUACUCCUUCCAUUUUUUAUAUUACCAAUCUCGCCAUCAGGUAAUAUUUUCACUUCUGUGUUGAUUGCCUUCUUCAUUGGAAAUGACUUUUGAUUUCUAUCUGUAAAUUGAAUACAAGUAGAGGAGCGACGCAAUUUUUGGGAAGACAUUUUCUGAGUUUAGUUUACGUCAUGUUUGAAAACAUAUUCUGUGAAUUAUAUCAGUAUGAGGUAGAAAUUAAAGUUAAAGGACACGUCACUUAAAAAAUUUACCAAAUAAUAAUAAAAAAUGUUCAUUAGUGAAAUUGUUUACUGAAUUGUUGAGGGCUAGUUUUAGCACACUGUUAAAUGAGGGUCAUUUUCUCAGGUUCUAUAUAUUUUCUUACUUUGUAAGUUGUGUCUUUUACUGGUAAAUCUGGGGUUUAACUACUGCGGCUACAAAAAAGGGCUUCAUUCCCAUACAUUGAAACAUUCAGGCAACUAACCAACUCAGCCAAUAGGACAAUAUGUGGGCUUUGAACUGGAUAUCUAUGAAAGAACAUCCAAUAGUCAUACCAUUAGACCAAAGACCAACUCAACCAAAACCAUAAUGUCUACUAUGGGACUUGUCCAUCGAGGAUCAAUUCAAUACUUAUUGCCAAACAUUCAAUAAACGUGACAUUACACCAUGCACCUAUGCGCCAUGCACUGCUUUGUAAGUUUUGUUACAGAAAUGAUUCUUGAUAAUUUGUUGUCAACUUAUUCUUGCGAGUUGUAAA